GACGAACGCUGGCGGCGUGCUUAACACAUGCAAGUCGAACGGAAAGGCCCUGCUUUUGUGGGGUGCUCGAGUGGCGAACGGGUGAGUAACACGUGAGUAACCUGCCCUUGACUUUGGGAUAACUUCAGGAAACUGGGGCUAAUACCGGAUAGGAGCUCCUGCUGCAUGGUGGGGGUUGGAAAGUUUCGGCGGUUGGGGAUGGACUCGCGGCUUAUCAGCUUGUUGGUGGGGUAGUGGCUUACCAAGGCUUUGACGGGUAGCCGGCUUGAGAGGGUGACCGGCCACAUUGGGACUGAGAUACGGCCCAGACUCCUACGGGAGGCAGCAGUGGGGAAUAUUGCACAAUGGGCGGAAGCCUGAUGCAGCAACGCCGCGUGCGGGAUGACGGCCUUCGGGUUGUAAACCGCUUUCGCCUGUGACGAAGCGUGAGUGACGGUAAUGGGUAAAGAAGCACCGGCUAACUACGUG
RNAcentral lists this ribosomal RNA (468 nucleotides) under uncultured bacterium. Its description in RNAcentral is "partial 16S ribosomal RNA". It matches the Rfam family "Bacterial small subunit ribosomal RNA", at positions 28 to 507 of the family's 1533-position model. The record is from RNAcentral.